ACUAGAGACCAAACCAAAGCUGUGGUCCAAAUGGAACCACUUUGUCGUACGUGCUCCGAUAAGAAUUAAAUAUCCAGAAAAGUAAUUGAAAUACAGCUCAGGAUCAUUAAAAGAAUUUUAUUUUUCUUUCUUCCUGUGAAAAGGGCAUGUGAAAGCAAGAGAACAUCAUGCACCCGGCAUCCCUACCUGGCUACAGUGUUGAAGACCCACAAUUAAUUAAUUAAUUCCCUCGCAAAAGAAAAUAAAUAAAACAAAAGGAAGAACGACAAUUAAUGGCGGCAA
RNAcentral lists this long non-coding RNA (282 nucleotides) under Brachypodium distachyon (stiff brome). RNAcentral describes it as "long non-coding RNA (BDIS_LNC003156)". Lineage: Eukaryota; Viridiplantae; Streptophyta; Magnoliopsida; Poales; Poaceae. The record is from RNAcentral.